UCCACUAACUAGGGACCAAGUAUUCAAGCAUAUGAGCCUAUGGGGCCAUGUUCUCAUUCAAACUGUCAUGAGAAUACAAAGUCGAUUCAUCACGAUGAAAGAACCCGCCUGACACCUUCUUUUCAGACCCUCAUCCCCAAAUGCAAGUAGAAUUGAGUUUUUCUUCCCUCAUGGUUUUCAGAUCUAUCUAAUGGACUUAAAACUGGAUCUGAGAGACAUGGAGAUUCUAGCUCUUACUGGCAAGUCUAGUAGCAAUUCUACCCCCUACCUCCAGUUAGAGGAGCUACAGCAGCCAGUCUGAAGAACAGCAGAAUGCCUCUCAAGGUCUACAUAAAGGUGAGCCAACAAUACAGGCUGUGCUCUCAAACCUCCCAGACUUUUGGUGCUCUUUGGCAGCCCCAAGCAUCCAGGCCCUAUACCUGCUGAUGUCUCUCAAUGCCUCUUGGUAUAUGGGCCUUUGGCCUUAUAUCACCUGAAUGUUAACUCAGGAUUCAGAGAAGGGUUCUUCUAUAUAGACCAGCUCUGCCCCAAGUGUGGCAUCCAUCUCUGCUGUUCCUGGCCUUCACCACUUUGCCUCUAAGUCAUCAACGUUCAGCCAUCUUAUGUCCAUGAUCUGCUGGCCCCUAUAGGUGAGAGGCUUCGCCUUCCAAGGUGACUCAGAAUAGUAUAGUAAAGCUGUUACUUCUCUUCCUGGGUGUCUCUGAUUUAUAAUAUAAGGCUCUAAGAACUCUGGGGAUGACAUGGAACAAGUCUAAGAGGAAGGCUAAGGUGAGUGGGGUAGAAAAAGCUCUGACAUCUAGCCUUGAAGCCACACCACACUGAUCAGUGUUGAGAGCUUUUGGUGCCACUUCUAGGGAUAUGACAUUUGUCACUGGGAUGGGACAAGGAUGUAGGCUGAGAUAAGAGUAUUAGAAGCAGUGACCAUGGGGCUUCGUUUACUGCGUUGCCGAAUUGCUACCUUAUGCAAUCUCGUUGCUUCCUCCUUAAUUAUUACCCUGUGUGAUCCUUUUCCUUACUACUUUGCUUGAUUACUUUCUUGUGUGAUCUCCUUGUUUCCUACUUCACUUGAUCACUCUGUCUUGAUCUAAGAACUGACCGUGUGUAUUGGAUGUACCCAGAAGGGUAUAAAAGCAGGCUGGAGAGACAUAAAGCUGCUUCAGCCACUCAGCACUGGCUGGAGUCAUGUUUGUCUAAUUGCCUUUGUCCUUUUAAUCUUCACUCCCUCCCUUGGACCCUGUUGACUGAGCUGGCUUGGUCAGAUGGGUCAUGAACUAAGGCCCGCUUUGGGCUAACCGACCUGGGUUCUUAUCCUGAUGCAGGCCAGGGAUCUCCCUCCCUCCUCCAUCAACAGCAAUGCUACACCAUGCAAUUCUAGGAGGUGCUAUGCAGUGCUAGUCUAAAUGAAUUGCACAGCCUUGCAUGUUUGCAUGCUGCCCACUUUCCAAGGAAGGUGCUUCUGGAAGCCUCCAUCAGACGCUCACUCCAUAUGCCUGACUUUUGUGGUGUUUAGCCUCCCUGCCUCCCUCACAUCCCAGACACGUGAACCACAUGUUUUCUUAAUUGAGGUUGAUUGGGGUAGGUGAGGAUAUGUCUUUUGCUAGACUAUAAGUACCCUGGGAAUGACUAAGCUGAGGGGGACGAGAGGGUAGCAAGGCCCUUAAAGGGGACCAGCAACAGCAAGCAGUACUGGAGAACUUGUCUCUCUGUGCCACAGCAUCUCAUCCCUCUUGAAUGGGGCACCCUGGUGGUGGGGCCCAACAGGUGUUUUAGCAGGUCACCAGGCAACUUAGAUACACAUGAAGUUUGAAAAGCACCCAGCUCCGGAUACCUCAGGGUGUCCUUGUUAUUGCUUCUGAAUGACCAGUUUUCAUUCAACCAAUUUUGGCUGCCCACCUGGGACACCCCCUAUUGCACCUUGGUUUUAGGGGGUCAUCAGGAGCAGCACAGAAAGCUCACGUCAGGGCUGCAGGCAAACAGAGUAGCCAGGCAGCUGUAGCCUCCUCCAAGAGCAGCCUCUCCCUGGUCCUGCUAACUGGGUGGUUAAAUUAUUCAGCAACCAAUUACAGCUUAACAAUGUCCCUGUCUCCCAGCCCAGUGAUUCUCCUGGCUGCCGCCAGCCAUGGCAAACGAUUUCCAACACAAAACAGAGUAUGUUCAGGAAUUUAGCACCAGGGAGGGCCCCCACUAGGCACCCCCCAUGCUUUAUCACAGCCUGCCCACAUAACACCCCCUAUCCUAUCCCCUGAGGCAGAUAUGGGUGGAUGAAUGGGUCAGCCUCCAGACCAUCAGGAACGAACUGGGAAUCCAAACGCUGAACGGGCCUCCAUGGCUAAUCCUAACACUGAACAAUCGGAGGAGAACCAACCGAUGCCCUCCCACUUUAUCCCACGGAUGGGGAAACUGAGGCUGCUGGGUGACUUGACUCCCGCCACACCUACGGCCUACGUCUUUUGACAGUUCUUAACACACGGGACCCCACCAUAGACAUCUAAGUUCAAACAGCCAGCCCUGGAAGAGAUGGGAGACAGGGACAAGUCUUGGUCAAGAACCUUACUCCACCUCUUCACGCGCCAUGCAGGACAUGUGAGAACAUGGCGUUAGGGUGAACAAAUACCCAGGCAGGUUUAUCCUCUUCAGCACAUGUGCUGAGAGGAAAUCUAUCAGUAACCAGAAACCCACUGCCAGGUGGUUCCAAAGGGCAGAGAGAACAUGUUCUGAUGGAAGCAGCCCCCACAGGGAAGACCUCCCCCACACCGUGGGAGGAGAGUUGGGGUGGAGCAGAAGGUGUUACAAAUGCAAGAGUCACCCUUUUGGUUUUGCUCAGAGGCCCCUGGGAGGAAGGGGGCUGGAAAUGGAAUAAGUGUUCUCAGUUUUCCUCCUGUCUCUCAGAAGCCUUUACAUGGAAUUAAAGAAGGUGACAGUAAAAACGAGGCCAAGAAGAACACCAAGGAGAAAAGACUGUGCUCACUCAGACUGUGGGGGCUCAGAAGGCAGGGGGCCCUCUCCAAGUGCUCAGAUAGUGUGGGGACAGGUGGCCUUCCCCAAAGGCACAGACGGGACCAUCAGGCUCCACAAGGACCACAGAGGCAUUCAGACCUGGCCUCGCCCAUCCUGACCAGCCCUUCCUGCCUCCCAGAACCAGCCAGCUUGGCUAGUAACAUACUCUGGGUAUCUUGGGCCUGAGGCAAUACAAGUUCAUUUUGGGUCACCAUGUGUGUGUGUGUCUACUACACUUGUAGAGAAACUAUCAAGUCACCAUGCGUGCCUCCUGUUCGCACCGUCUUUCCUCUGAUCUACCCUAAGCUGAUGUCACAGAAUAAGGGAGUCUGAGAUGCACCAUGCAUCCUCCGGGUUUACAGCCGGUGCCCAGGCCCAUCGGGGCAGGCUAUGCUGUGCUACUGUAACAGUAAACGUGUCCAGGAGCUCGGAAACUGAAUGGUUCUAUGGCUCUACGCGGUUACAUGUGGGGCUUGUUUCUGAAGUCAUAAAAACACUUGAAAUUAGACAGUGGUAAUAGUGGGCUCAGCCACACGAAUGCACUGAGUCCUUGAAAGGCGUGGACUUUGUCUCCUCGGUAAGGAACACAUCAGAUCCAUCUUUCCCUCCACAGCUGCAGACACACAGGGACACUGCCUGGCACCAACCCAGUGCAGGGACACCAUCUAGAACCCUGCUGACUGUCCUGUGAGCUCUGGAGGAGAGAUGUGCCUUCCUGGAAGAGAAACUCCCACUCAGGACUCGGGAGAACCAGCCCAGUGCUCCACUCCAUAACGACAGGGGAGAAAAGCAUCCAGGGAAGACUUAGAGCCAAGAUGCCAUGAAGACCAGAAAAUCAAAGGACAGUUUUCAAAGAGAACAACAGAGGCCAUCACGAUAACAGGUGAGGUUAUAAUCCUGUACCGUAGGCCGCACGGGACACGGGGCAGUUUGACAGGGGUAAGGGCGGUUACACCGUUACACGUGACAGUCAGCAGGUGCUUUCCUAUCACUGAGCAACCUGAGAAGCAAGGAACGGCCCACCCGCCUCCUCACAGAGGGGAGAAUGAGACUGAUUGGAGAGCAAUACUGUGCAGCUGCAUUUGGUAAACUCCAGCCCUGCCUCAAGCAUCGAAGAUUCCCAGAAACUCAAUUCUCACCCAAGUUGGAAACGUAAGGAAGAAGAAAGGAGAGCCAUCUGUUUCUGCAUUGGAUACAAAAGAGUCUUCAGCAAAGAAAGCAACCAGGAGGAAGGGGCUUUCCAGGCUUGUCUGGCCACUCAGUUACUUGAAAGGAAGACCUUCAGAAAACUCCAGCUUCCCCCCAUGACUCAGAAAUGCUUGGCUAAUUAUCGUUUGGGGGCAUGAUGUCUGAGGAGGAAAGGCCCCUGGCUGCCUGAAGUCUGCCCAAGGCCAGGCCCCAUUGCUGGAAGCAGGGCUGUCAGUCAGCUGAUGACAUUCUGAGUUCCACCAACAGUGUCAGGGCCCAGGAGAGAAGCUUCCUGCUGGGACUGGGCAGCAGGGCUCAAAACCCACACCCCGGAGGCUGUCAGUCUGCAGCUGGGAUGGACAGCCCCUCUUAGCUUCUCUCCCAGCUUUCGUCGUCAUAAGACCUGUCCAGCCAGGUGGCCAGGCUCUGAAAGGGUGGCUGUCACUCCACUAACGCCCUGGGCUUUGCCUCAGGGAAGAGAGCCUGCUCAUCAAUUACAGAAUAAAUGACACCUCCUCCACUCACUGCCUCUCACCCAGUUCCCCACCGUAUAGACCUCCUUACCUUGGUGAAUAGAAGCAUGAAGAAGGAGGCUUUUAUCAGGUACCAACACCUUUCUACACCCAGGAAUGUGGUCUACACAUUCCCAGAAUCUUGAGGGAAAGGUCCAGGCAGAAUCUAGACACUGACCAGGCCUGAGACCAAGUGCUCGGAGACCCAUUCUGGAUCCCCACGCAGGUUAGAGCUACCUAGGGAAAGCGCGCCCCAUCAGAGCAAACCAUAAAGCUCUGACUUUGUUCUUUGCUCACACUGCACCCAUUUAGUAAAGUCUAUUCCGGGUUUGGGGAUGAAGACAUGGCUCCUCCAGGACCCACCUCUGUUCUGAGCGCUCACUCAGGCGCUCACAACCACUUGCAACUCCAGUUUCAGGAGGACCUAAGGCCUCUGAGGGCACC
RNAcentral lists this small RNA (5141 nucleotides) under Rattus norvegicus (Norway rat). Its description in RNAcentral is "uncharacterized LOC102556385". The record is from RNAcentral. Lineage: Eukaryota; Metazoa; Chordata; Mammalia; Rodentia; Muridae.